Molecule: ribosomal RNA, 403 nt
Filed under: Tannerella forsythia
Lineage: Bacteria; Pseudomonadati; Bacteroidota; Bacteroidia; Bacteroidales; Tannerellaceae
Description: bacterial SSU rRNA
Rfam family: Bacterial small subunit ribosomal RNA
Source: RNAcentral
GAUGAACGCUAGCGAUAGGCUUAACACAUGCAAGUCGAGGGGCAUCGAGGGUAGCAAUACCUGUCGGCGACCGGCGCACGGGUGAGUAACGCGUAUGUAACCUGCCCGCAACAGAGGGAUAACCCGGCGAAAGUCGGACUAAUACCUCAUAAAACAGGGGUUCCGCAUGGGGCUAUUUGUUAAAGAUUUAUUGGUUGCGGAUGGGCAUGCGUACCAUUAGGUAGUUGGUGAGGUAACGGCUCACCAAGCCAUCGAUGGUUAGGGGUUCUGAGAGGAAGGUCCCCCACACUGGUACUGAGACACGGACCAGACUCCUACGGGAGGCAGCAGUGAGGAAUAUUGGUCAAUGGGCGAGAGCCUGAACCAGCCAAGUCGCGUGAAGGAUGGACUGCCCUAUGGGUUG